UACGGAGGGUGCGAGCGUUGUCCGGAAUCAUUGGGCGUAAAGGGCGCGCAGGCGGCCUGGCAAGUCGAGUGUGAAAUCCCUUGGCUUAACUGAGGAAUGGCGCUCGAAACUACCUCGCUGGAGGGCGGGAGAGGGAAGUGGAACUCUCGGUGUAGGGGUGAAAUCUGUAGAUAUCGAGAGGAACACCGGUGGCGAAGGCGGCUUCCUGGCCCGUACCUGACGCUGAGGCGCGAAAGCGUGGGGAGCAAACAGG
Molecule: ribosomal RNA, 253 nt
Filed under: uncultured bacterium
Lineage: Bacteria
Description: partial 16S ribosomal RNA
Rfam family: Bacterial small subunit ribosomal RNA
Source: RNAcentral